This is a long non-coding RNA of Myotis brandtii (Brandt's bat), 245 nucleotides long. RefSeq lists it as uncharacterized. The transcript is spliced from 2 exons. Lineage: Eukaryota; Metazoa; Chordata; Mammalia; Chiroptera; Vespertilionidae. The record is from RefSeq and is a predicted model, not a curated record.
UGAAGAGUCGGGAAAAGUGCACCAGCAAUUUCAAAAGCUUCUGACUGAGUUAAAUAAGCCCACUGAUGCCUACAAGCUGAGCCUUGCCAACAGGCUCUAUGGAAAUAAGAAGUUUCCGUUUUUUCAGGAAUACUUGGAUAAUGUUAAGAAAUUCUACCUAGCCAGUGUGGAAUCUGCUGAUUUUGUAAAUGCUGCAGAAGAAACCCGAAAGAUGAUUAAUUCCUGGGUGGAAAGCCAAACGAAUG